This 195-nucleotide microRNA precursor is filed under the name Oryza rufipogon (brownbeard rice). Its description in RNAcentral is "MIR812 microRNA precursor family". It matches the Rfam family "MIR812 microRNA precursor family". Lineage: Eukaryota; Viridiplantae; Streptophyta; Magnoliopsida; Poales; Poaceae. The record is from Rfam by way of RNAcentral.
GUUCACUGCUCCCUCCGUCCCAUUUUCACGCCUAACUUUAAUCGUCUGUUUUUUUAUAAUUUAUAUCUUUAUUGUUAUGAGAUGAUAAAACAUGAAUAGUAUUUUAUGUGUGACUUAUAUUUUUAAUUUUUUUUAAAAAAAUUGAAUAAGAUGAAUGGUUAAAGUUGUACGCGAAAAAUUAUGGCUGCAUUCAAA